GUUGUGUAAAUAAGCACCUCACCCAUCUCAGUACUUCCCAAGCCACAGGACGGAGUGUGGGAGCGAAGCCCCUUCAUCAAAGCACCAGAAAGAUGUCAGCAGAAAAACAAACAGAUGGAACUUCGGACAGCCAAAUCCAGUGAGGUGUGAGCUAACCUCCCCACCCAGUCAUGUGCUUACACAUGGGAACAAAACCCAAGAGGGUGGCCAGCCUUCAGCCCAGUGCCCAGGGAUGAAACAUGGCCCAAGAAAUAACACCACCACCAUCAGCUGUCCAUGCUUCCACCUCAAGCACUGAGCAAGAUCCUCUGGCAAAUGACCUCACUGGGAGGUAAAGAGGAAAGCGCUAUUGUCAACUCCAUUCUUCAGAGUAUCUGAGCCCAAGGGACACUCCCGUGUGAUUUGGUCUCCCUAACCGCUCCCCUACCUCCCUUCAAGUUAAUGUUGGAGCUUCUCCAGGGCUGACUUGGGAGAGGAGCCGGCAGACCGGGCCAGUGCACCCUCUUGGCA
Homo sapiens (human) is the source of this 510-nucleotide long non-coding RNA. Lineage: Eukaryota; Metazoa; Chordata; Mammalia; Primates; Hominidae. The record is from Ensembl.